This 465-nucleotide ribosomal RNA is filed under the name Vreelandella stevensii. RNAcentral describes it as "partial 16S ribosomal RNA". It matches the Rfam family "Bacterial small subunit ribosomal RNA", at positions 338 to 795 of the family's 1533-position model. The record is from RNAcentral. Lineage: Bacteria; Pseudomonadati; Pseudomonadota; Gammaproteobacteria; Oceanospirillales; Halomonadaceae.
CCUACGGGUGGCUGCAGUGGGGAAUAUUGGACAAUGGGCGAAAGCCUGAUCCAGCCAUGCCGCGUGUGUGAAGAAGGCCUUCGGGUUGUAAAGCACUUUCAGUGGGGAAGAAAGCCUUGGGGCUAAUACCCUCGAGGAAGGACAUCACCCACAGAAGAAGCACCGGCUAACUCCGUGCCAGCAGCCGCGGUAAUACGGAGGGUGCGAGCGUUAAUCGGAAUUACUGGGCGUAAAGCGCGCGUAGGCGGUCUGAUAAGCCGGUUGUGAAAGCCCCGGGCUCAACCUGGGAACGGCAUCCGGAACUGUCAGGCUAGAGUGCAGGAGAGGAAGGUAGAAUUCCCGGUGUAGCGGUGAAAUGCGUAGAGAUCGGGAGGAAUACCAGUGGCGAAGGCGGUCUUCUGGACUGACACUGACGCUGAGGUGCGAAAGCGUGGGUAGCAAACAGGAUUAGAUACCCCUGUAGUC